AUGCACGCUGGCGGCGUGCCUAAUACAUGCAAGUCGAGCGAACAGAUGAGGAGCUUGCUCCUCUGACGUUAGCGGCGGACGGGUGAGUAACACGUGGAUAACCUACCUAUAAGACUGGGAUAACUUCGGGAAACCGGAGCUAAUACCGGAUAAUAUAUUGAACCGCAUGGUUCAAUAGUGAAAGACGGUUUUGCUGUCACUUAUAGAUGGAUCCGCGCCGCAUUAGCUAGUUGGUAAGGUAACGGCUUACCAAGGCAACGAUGCGUAGCCGACCUGAGAGGGGGAUCGGCCACACGGAAACUGAGACACGGCCCAGACCCCGACGGGGGGAAGGAGGAGGGAAGUUUCCGCAAGGGGCGAAAGCCUGACGGAGAAACGCGGGGGGAGGAAGGAAGGCUUUCGGUUCGUAAAACUCUUUUAUUGGGGAAGAAAAAAGGGGUAAGUAAAGUUGCACGUUUUGCGGGUACCAAAUAAAAAAACCCCGGUAAAAUACGG
Molecule: ribosomal RNA, 495 nt
Filed under: uncultured bacterium
Lineage: Bacteria
Description: partial 16S ribosomal RNA
Rfam family: Bacterial small subunit ribosomal RNA
Source: RNAcentral